Molecule: ribosomal RNA, 601 nt
Filed under: Phyllaphis fagi
Lineage: Eukaryota; Metazoa; Arthropoda; Insecta; Hemiptera; Aphididae
Description: partial 12S small subunit ribosomal RNA
Source: RNAcentral
GCAGCUGCGGUUAUACAUAAUAUACAAAUAAAAUAGUUUGGUUAAUAGUUUUAAAUAUUAAAUAAAAAUUAAUUUUAAUUUUAAGGUAAAAUUUAAUUUUAAAUUAAAUUUUUAAAUAUUUUAUUUCUAUUAAAUUUUAUUUUAAACUAGGAUUAGAUACCCUAUUAUAAAAAUUUAAAAUAAUUACUAAAAAAUUAAUAGUUAUUUUCUUUAAAUUUAAAAAAUUUGGCGGUAUUUUAGUCUUAUUAGAGGAACCUGUUUUAUGAUUGAUAAUCCACGAUUGAUUUUACUUAAUUUAAAAAUUUAUAUAUCGCUGUCAUGAAUAUAUUUAAAAAUUUAAUUUCUUAAAUUAAUUUUAUAAUUUAUGUUAAGUCAAGAUGUAGUUUAUAAUUAAGAAAAUAAUGGGUUACAUUAAAUUUUAUUUAUGGAUUUUAAAUGAAAAUAAUAAUAAAAUUGGAUUUAAUAGUAAAUUUAUUUAUUUAAAUAAUAUGAAUAAAGAUCUAAAAUAUGUACAUAUUGCCCGUCAUUCUUAUUAAAAAUAAGACAAGUCGUAACAAAGUAAAUGUACUGGAAAGUGUAUUUAGAAAGAAUUUUAUUUAAA